UUAGAUCUGCAGCAGAAAUUAGAACAUGCUCAAAAAGUCUGUCUCUCUGACACUUGUAUUUUGGGGAAGAAGCAACUAGAGGAAAAGAUAAAAGAAGCACUGAAAAAUGAAGCUAAAACAAAGCAAAAAUACCAGGAAGAACAGCACAAGAGGGAACUCCUGGAUCAGAAUGUAAAAGAGCUACAAAAGCAAGUGAGAAUCUUACAAGAUAAAGGGAAUCAACUGGAAAUAACCUGUUCUCAGCAACAAUCCAGAAUCCAGCAACAGGAGGCCCAACUUAAACAACUGGAAGAUGAAAAAAGAAAAUCGGAAGAGCAUCUCAAAAGCAACCAAGAAUUAUCAGAAAAGAUAUCUGCGUUGCAGCAAGAGAAGAAAGCGCUCUAUGAAGAAUAUGGGCAAUUUUUGAACCAGCUUGAUGUCCAU
Molecule: non-coding RNA, 423 nt
Organism: Leptonychotes weddellii (Weddell seal)
Lineage: Eukaryota; Metazoa; Chordata; Mammalia; Carnivora; Phocidae
Source: RefSeq, a predicted model, not a curated record